This 699-nucleotide ribosomal RNA is filed under the name uncultured organism. Its description in RNAcentral is "bacterial SSU rRNA". It matches the Rfam family "Bacterial small subunit ribosomal RNA", at positions 45 to 719 of the family's 1533-position model. The record is from RNAcentral.
UGCUUCAUACAUGCAAGUCGAACGAGAAUGCUCCCUUCGGGGAGUGAGUACUGUGGCGAACGGGUGCGUAACACGUGAGCAAUCUGCCUCGAAGCUGGGGAUAACCUUCCUAACGGGGGGCUAAUACCGGAUGUGUUUACCGGAUGGCAUCGUCUGGUGAAUAAAGAUGGCGUGCUGAACGCUAUCACUUCGAGAUGAGCUCGCGGCCUAUUAGCUUGUUAGUGGGGUAACGGCCUACCAAGGCUGCGAUGGGUAGCCGGCCUGAGAGGGUGACCGGCCACAUUGGGACUGAGAUACGGCCCAGACUCCUACGGGAGGCAGCAGUAGGGAAUAUUGCGCAAUGGGGGAAACCCUGACGCAGCAACGCCGCGUGAGCGAUGAAGGCCUUCGGGUCGUAAAGCUCUGUCAGGAGGGAAGAACCCCGGAUGAUGGAUAAUAUCGGCCGGCUGACGGUACCUCCAGAGGAAGCUCCGGAUAACUCCGUGCCAGCAGCCGCGGUAAUACGGAGGGAGCGAGCGUUGUACGGAAAUUACUGGGCGUAAAGGGCGCGCAGGCGAAUUGGUAAGUCAGAUGUUGAAUUCAACGGCUUAACCGGUUGAACUGCAUCCGAUACUGCCAGGCUUGAGAUCAGUAGAGGAGACUGGAAUUCCCAGUGUAGCGGUGGAAUGCGUAGAUAUCGGGAAGAACACCGGUGGCGAA